CCUAACACAUGCAAGUCGAACGGUAGCACAGAGAGCUUGCUCUUGGGUGACGAGUGGCGGACGGGUGAGUAAUGUCUGGGAAACUGCCCGAUGGAGGGGGAUAACUACUGGAAACGGUAGCUAAUACCGCAUAACGUCGCAAGACCAAAGUGGGGGACCUUCGGGCCUCACACCAUCGGAUGUGCCCAGAUGGGAUUAGCUAGUAGGUGGGGUAAUGGCUCACCUAGGCGACGAUCCCUAGCUGGUCUGAGAGGAUGACCAGCCACACUGGAACUGAGACACGGUCCAGACUCCUACGGGAGGCAGCAGUGGGGAAUAUUGCACAAUGGGCGCAAGCCUGAUGCAGCCAUGCCGCGUGUAUGAAGAAGGCCUUCGGGUUGUAAAGUACUUUCAGCGAGGAGGAAGGCAUUGUGGUUAAUAACCGCAGUGAUUGACGUUACUCGCAGAAGAAGCACCGGCUAACUCCGUGCCAGCAGCCGCGGUAAUACGGAGGGUGCAAGCGUUAAUCGGAAUUACUGGGCGUAAAGCGCACGCAGGCGGUCUGUCAAGUCGGAUGUGAAAUCCCCGGGCUCAACCUGGGAACUGCAUUCGAAACUGGCAGGCUAGAGUCUUGUAGAGGGGGGUAGAAUUCCAGGUGUAGCGGUGAAAUGCGUAGAGAUCUGGAGGAAUACCGGUGGCGAAGGCGGCCCCCUGGACAAAGACUGACGCUCAGGUGCGAAAGCGUGGGGAGCAAACAGGAUUAGA
This 744-nucleotide ribosomal RNA is filed under the name Kluyvera intermedia. RNAcentral's name for it is "bacterial SSU rRNA". It matches the Rfam family "Bacterial small subunit ribosomal RNA", at positions 47 to 782 of the family's 1533-position model. Lineage: Bacteria; Pseudomonadati; Pseudomonadota; Gammaproteobacteria; Enterobacterales; Enterobacteriaceae. The record is from RNAcentral.